Molecule: transfer RNA, 75 nt
Filed under: Gemmatimonadales bacterium
Lineage: Bacteria; Pseudomonadati; Gemmatimonadota; Gemmatimonadia; Gemmatimonadales
Description: tRNA-Ile
Rfam family: tRNA
About the family: Transfer RNA (tRNA) molecules are approximately 80 nucleotides in length.
Source: RNAcentral
GGGCCCUUAGCUCAGCCUGGUUAGAGCAGCGGACUCAUAAUCCUUAGCGCGCUGGUUCAAAUCCAGCAAGGCCCA